Molecule: ribosomal RNA, 434 nt
Filed under: uncultured Lachnospiraceae bacterium
Lineage: Bacteria; Bacillati; Bacillota; Clostridia; Lachnospirales; Lachnospiraceae
Description: partial 16S ribosomal RNA
Rfam family: Bacterial small subunit ribosomal RNA
Source: RNAcentral
ACGGAAGGCAGCAGUGGGGAAUAUUGGACAAUGGGGGAAACCCUGAUCCAGCGACGCCGCGUGAGUGAAGAAGUAUUUCGGUAUGUAAAGCUCUAUCAGCAGGGAAGAUAAUGACGGUACCUGACUAAGAAGCCCCGGCUAACUACGUGCCAGCAGCCGCGGCAAUACGUAGGGGGCAAGCGUUAUCCGGAUUUACUGGGUGUAAAGGGAGCGUAGACGGCAUGGUAAGUCUGAUAUGAAAACCCAGGGCUCAACCCUGGGACUGCAUUGGAAACUAUCAAGCUAGAGUGCAGGAGAGGUAAGUGGAAUUCCUAGUGUAGCGGUGAAAUGCGUGGAUAUUAGGAGGAACACCAGUGGCGAAGGCGGCUUACUGGACUGUAACUGACGUUGAGGCUCGAAAGCGUGGGGAGCAAACAGGAUUAGAUACCCUGGUA